AGAGUUUGAUCCUGGCUCAGAUUGAACGCUGGCGGCAGGCCUAACACAUGCAAGUCGAGCGGUAACAGAUCCAGCUUGCUGGAUGCUGACGAGCGGCGGACGGGUGAGUAACGCAUAGGAAUUUACCCGAUAGUGGGGGAUAACCUGGGGAAACUCAGGCUAAUACCGCAUACGUCCUACGGGAGAAAGGGGGCUCCGGCUCCCGCUAUCGGAUGAGCCUAUGCCGGAUUAGCUGGUUGGUGAGGUAAUGGCUCACCAAGGCGACGAUCCGUAGCUGGUCUGAGAGGAUGAUCAGCCACAUCGGGACUGAGACACGGCCCGAACUCCUACGGGAGGCAGCAGUGGGGAAUAUUGGACAAUGGGGGCAACCCUGAUCCAGCCAUGCCGCGUGUGUGAAGAAGGCCCUCGGGUUGUAAAGCACUUUCAGCGAGGAAGAACGCCUGGCGGUUAAUACCCGCCAGGAAAGACAUCACUCGCAGAAGAAGCACCGGCUAACUCCGUGCCAGCAGCCGCGGUAAUACGGAGGGUGCAAGCGUUAAUCGGAAUUACUGGGCGUAAAGCGCGCGUAGGUGGCUUGAUAAGCCGGUUGUGAAAGCCCCGGGCUCAACCUGGGAACGGCAUCCGGAACUGUCAGGCUAGAGUGCAGGAGAGGAAGGUAGAAUUCCCGGUGUAGCGGUGAAAUGCGUAGAGAUCGGGAGGAAUACCAGUGGCGAAGGCGGCCUUCUGGACUGACACUGACACUGAGGUGCGAAAGCGUGGGUAGCAAACAGGAUUAGAUACCCUGGUAGUCCACGCCGUAAACGAUGUCGAC
Molecule: ribosomal RNA, 811 nt
Filed under: uncultured bacterium
Lineage: Bacteria
Description: bacterial SSU rRNA
Rfam family: Bacterial small subunit ribosomal RNA
Source: RNAcentral